This is a long non-coding RNA of Tarenaya hassleriana, 248 nucleotides long. RefSeq lists it as uncharacterized. NCBI's taxonomy places the organism in Eukaryota, Viridiplantae, Streptophyta, Magnoliopsida, Brassicales, Cleomaceae. The record is from RefSeq and is a predicted model, not a curated record. The transcript is spliced from 2 exons.
CCAUGGCGAACUCUAUCGUGUUCGAAGAUGUGUCUGUACCUCCAAGUACCAUGUCCUGCUCAAAACCAGACAUACAUACAAGUUUACCAAAAUCCAAACGUGGCGCAAAGCGUUUGUCCCGUCCCGAGUUCGAACCCCAGGCUGGGAAGGGAACGCAUAAUUCAAAUCGCAUGGCUGGUUCCCGGCCCCGGGAUUAAUCUGGACUUCGGCCCAGAAAACCCGGUUACCAAAAAAAAAAAAAAAAAAGA